This 496-nucleotide ribosomal RNA is filed under the name uncultured bacterium. RNAcentral describes it as "partial 16S ribosomal RNA". It matches the Rfam family "Bacterial small subunit ribosomal RNA", at positions 29 to 507 of the family's 1533-position model. The record is from RNAcentral.
ACGAACGCUGGCGGCGUGCCUAAUACAUGCAAGUAGAACGCUGAAGAGAGGAGCUUGCUCUUCUUGGAUGAGUUGCGAACGGGUGAGUAACGCGUAGGUAACCUGCCUUGUAGCGGGGGAUAACUAUUGGAAACGAUAGCUAAUACCGCAUAACAAUGGAUGACACAUGUCAUUUAUUUGAAAGGGGCAAUUGCUCCACUACAAGAUGGACCUGCGUUGUAUUAGCUAGUAGGUGAGGUAAUGGCUCACCUAGGCGACGAUACAUAGCCGACCUGAGAGGGUGAUCGGCCACACUGGGACUGAGACACGGCCCAGACGCCUACGGGAGGCAGCAGUAGGGAAUCUUCGGCAAUGGGGGCAACCCUGACCGAGCAACGCCGCGUGAGUGAAGAAGGGUUUCGGAUCGUAAAGCUCUGUUGUAAGUCAAGAACGGGUGUGAGAGUGGAAAGUUCACACUGUGACGGUAGCUUACCAGAAAGGGACGGCUAACUACGUG